Molecule: ribosomal RNA, 254 nt
Filed under: uncultured bacterium
Lineage: Bacteria
Description: partial 16S ribosomal RNA
Rfam family: Bacterial small subunit ribosomal RNA
Source: RNAcentral
UACGUAGGGAGCAAGCGUUGUUCGGAUUUACUGGGCGUAAAGGGCGCGUAGGCGGCAAUUCAAGUCAGCUGUGAAAUCUCCGGGCUUAACUCGGAACGGUCAGCUGAUACUGCUUUGCUAGAGUGCGGAAGGGGCAAUCGGAAUUCUCGGUGUAGCGGUGAAAUGCGUAGAUAUCGAGAGGAACACCUGAGGUGAAGACGGGUUGCUGGGCCGACACUGACGCUGACAGCGCGAAAGCCAGGGGAGCAAACAGG